CGGGGAGGUAGUGACGAAAAAUAACGAUACGGGACUCAUCCGAGGCCCCGUAAUCGGAAUGAGAACACUUUAAAUCCUUUAACGAGGACCAAUUGGAGGGCAAGUCUGGUGCCAGCAGCCGCGGUAAUUCCAGCUCCAAUAGCGUAUAUUAAAGUUGUUGCGGUUAAAAAGCUCGUAGUUGAAUCUGUGUGUCACAGUGUCGGUUCGCCAUCGCGGUGAUUAACUGGCAUUAUGUGGUACGUCCUACCGGUGGACGCUGUUCCCUUCGGGGGGCGGUCCAACUAAUUACCCAUCGCGGUGCUCUUCACUGAGUGUCGAGGUGGGCCGGUACGUUUACUUUGAACAAAUUAGAGUGCUCAAAGCAGGCUAUUUUCGCCUGAAUACUCUGUGCAUGGAAUAAUGGAAUAGGACCUCGGUUCUAUUUUGUUGGUUUUCGGAACCCCGAGGUAAUGAUUAAUAGGGACAGAUGGGGGCAUUCGUAUUGCGACGUUAGAGGUGAAAUUCUUGGAUCGUCGCAAGACGGACUAAAGCGAAAGCAUUUGCCAAAAAUGUUUUCAUUAAUCAAGAACGAAAGUUAGAGGUUCGAAGGCGAUCAGAUACCGCCCUAGUUCUAACCAUAAACGAUGCCAGCUAGCGAUCCGCCGAUGUUCCUCCGAUGACUCGGCGGGCAGCUUCCGGGAAACCAAAGCUUUUGGGUUCCGGGGGAAGUAUGGUUGCAAAGCUGAAACUUAAAGGAAUUGACGGAAGGGCACCACCAGGAGUGGAGCCUGCGGCUUAAUUUGACUC
This 786-nucleotide ribosomal RNA is filed under the name Ceratina sp. JS-2010. RNAcentral's name for it is "SSU rRNA". It matches the Rfam family "Eukaryotic small subunit ribosomal RNA", at positions 457 to 1201 of the family's 1831-position model. Lineage: Eukaryota; Metazoa; Arthropoda; Insecta; Hymenoptera; Apidae. The record is from RNAcentral.